GGAUGCGAUCAUACCAGCACUAAAGCAACGGAUCCCAUCAGGUCUCCGAAGUUAAGCGUGCGUGGGCGAGAGUAGUACUAGGAUGGGUGACCUCUUGGGAAGUCCUCAUGUUGCAUUCC
RNAcentral lists this ribosomal RNA (119 nucleotides) under Triticum aestivum (bread wheat). Lineage: Eukaryota; Viridiplantae; Streptophyta; Magnoliopsida; Poales; Poaceae. The record is from RNAcentral.